ACGUCAGGUCCUCAUGGCCUUUAUGUCUAGGGCUACACACGUGCUACAAUGGGUGGUACAAAGAGCAGCUAACUCGCGAGAGUAUGCAAAUCUCAAAAAGCCAUCCUCAGUUCGGAUUGGAGUCUGCAACUCGACUCCAUGAAGUUGGAAUCGCUAGUAAUCGCGGAUCAGCAUGCCGCGGUGAAUACGUUCCCGGGCCUU
This 201-nucleotide ribosomal RNA is filed under the name uncultured Smithella sp. RNAcentral describes it as "partial 16S ribosomal RNA". It matches the Rfam family "Bacterial small subunit ribosomal RNA", at positions 1182 to 1382 of the family's 1533-position model. Lineage: Bacteria; Pseudomonadati; Thermodesulfobacteriota; Syntrophia; Syntrophales; Smithellaceae. The record is from RNAcentral.